This 306-nucleotide long non-coding RNA is filed under the name Mytilus galloprovincialis (Mediterranean mussel). The record is from RNAcentral. Lineage: Eukaryota; Metazoa; Mollusca; Bivalvia; Mytilida; Mytilidae.
AUUUCAUCUUCUAAACUAAAACAAAAUUGUUUCAGUUCGACUUAGACCGAAGUCAAUUCUUCAUAUGAUGAAAUUUUCUAAGAUGAUUUGUGUUGAUCCAGUAAGUACAGGAUUAAGAUGAAGAUUAGAGAUUAUGAAAGUUUGACGUAGGAGUAUUUACACAUUCCCUUCAGACUAGAUUGACUUUAAAAUACAGUUUUGAAAGAAUUCUGUGGUUUGUUGAACAAUACUUUAAUAUAUUCUAUAUCUGAUGAAACAUUGAAGAUAAUAUUUGUAUGAUACAACACAUUAAAGAGAACACGAACG